Molecule: non-coding RNA, 2051 nt
Organism: Coffea arabica (coffee)
Lineage: Eukaryota; Viridiplantae; Streptophyta; Magnoliopsida; Gentianales; Rubiaceae
Source: RefSeq, a predicted model, not a curated record
CCCCCGCAGCUGUACAUGGAGCAGUCUUCCCGCCUUUCUGGAAUCUCUAAUUAUUUAUUAAUCUGAAAACACACACUCACGCAGUAGAAGGAAAUCGGACGAAAUGGUUCGAGGCGGAGGAGGAGCGAAGAAGGAGAAGGAAGAGAAUGCGGAGGCGGAAGAAAGGAAGAGACUGAAGAAAUUGGCGUUUAAAAAUAAUAUACUUUCCGAAACGCAGGCGACGGCGAGUGGCUCCAACGCUCUGAACCCUUCGGCGACUGUGGUCAAGCACCAUGGCAAAGAUAUCAUGAGGAAAUCGCAGCGGAGUGGCAAGAAUCGUUAUUUAUUCUCAUUUCCUGGGCUUUUAGGUCCAGUUUCUGGUGGAAAGGUUGGGGAACUCAAAGACCUCGGCACUAAGAAUCCUGUUCUUUACCUCGAUUUUCCCCAGGGUCAAAUGAAGUUAUUUGGUACAAUUGUGUAUCCAAAGAACAGGUACCUGACUCUUCAAUUCUCGAAAACUGGAAAGAAUGUGACAUGUGAAGACUACUUUGAUAACAUGAUUGUGUUCUCUGAUGCUUGGUGGAUUGGGAAAAAGGAUGAAAAUCCUGAAGAAGUACGUCUAGAAUUUCCAAAGGAGAUGGAUGUGGAACAGGUGCAAAACUAUGAUUUUAAAGGUGGUGCAGGUGGGCCAAGUGAUAGCAAGCGAGAUAGCAUUAAAACAGCUAAGAAAGUUGUCGAGCAGCCAUCUCCUAAAUUUGAGCUGGAAGAAGAUUCCUCUGACAGUCAACAUAAACCUAAAGAAGUUCUUGAACUCACUCCAUCUCGGAAGUCAGCUAGGACAGAUUCCUCUGACAGUCAAAAUAAACCAAAAGAAGUUCUUGAACUCACUCCAUCUCGGAAGUCAGCUAGGACAGCGGGAAAGACAUUCAAGUUUGCUGAGUCUUCUUCUGGAGAUGACAUUGCUGAUGGUUUGGGGGAGACCUCAGGAGAUGAUUUUGUUAAUAACGGGCUAGAAAGCUCAGAAGGAGAUGGGGACAACGUUGCUAAAGAUAUCCUUCUAAAUUCAUUGACCUUACUGGAAAGUCUUGCCAUGUGGUACUUGACCUUGAUAAGGAAGAUGCUGAAACAGACGCUCCAGUCCCAAAGAAAAGAAAACAAAGUGCAAAAUCAGCUUCAAAAACUAAAGAGCUUGCUCAUAGUAAUCAGGGUUCUCUGGUUCAAAAGACCAUAUCAUCCUUAUUCAAGAAAGCAGGGGAAAAGGUUGUGCAUACAGAUGCGAAUGAGAAGAUAGAUAAUGUCAAGAUUUCCAGGCCCUCGAAAAAGGGGAAACCAGUAGGCAAAAGAAAAGAUGGAACAGAAAGUUCAGCAAGGAAGAAAAAAAUGAAGGUUCAGGUUGAAGAUGAUGAUAUUGAGGAGUUCACUAGCACAUCGCAGGAUAUGAUUUCAAGUGAUGAAGACUGGACUACUUAACAACAGUGAUGUGAUGACAACCGCAGUAGUUGUCAAAACAAAUUUCUACUCGGAUAUAAGUCGAUCUGUGAAUUCCCCCAGUUGAAUGUCCAAGAAAUGAGAUUGCUUACUUCUCUUGGUGAUGGAUUAAUUGGUAAUGCUUGAUGUCAAUUCUUUUUCUUUCAUUGUAAGGAAUGUAAUGCAGAAUUGAGAAAAAUGAUGGGAGGUUGGCGCAGAAUUUGUGACUCCUUCCCCUUUUUAUUUGCCAUGUAUGACAGUUCAUAGAAACUUCAAAAGCUAUUGGUUGUAUACUUGAGUAGUAGUUCAAUUUGGAUACUUGAAAUGAUACUGCGAGGAAAUUCUUGCGACUCCUAUUAAAAGAAAGAUGCUAGAUCGGCACUUUUAUUUAACCCAACUUUUGUUGAGUUGAUCUGUUUCUCAUCUCUGCUCGACCCGCAAGUUCUCAUCUCAAUUCAGGGAACAGUGUGCACGAAAGAAUAUAUGCAGAAAGGUUCACAAAAAGGGAAACAUCUCAUCUCUGAUAUUCCCAUUAAAUACUGCUUUAUUACAUCGUCUUGCUAUAACCACGGAAACGAAGAGGAAAAAAUGAAAAAAAAAAAAAA